UCUCAGGAUUGUCCGGUGAAAAUGUUGGG
Molecule: small RNA, 29 nt
Filed under: Bombyx mori (domestic silkworm)
Lineage: Eukaryota; Metazoa; Arthropoda; Insecta; Lepidoptera; Bombycidae
Description: ovarian small RNA-29583
Source: RNAcentral